This 357-nucleotide transfer-messenger RNA is filed under the name Clostridiaceae. RNAcentral describes it as "Clostridium_AT prolinivorans Standard tmRNA". It matches the Rfam family "transfer-messenger RNA". Rfam says of the family: Bacterial tmRNA, also known as 10Sa RNA or SsrA, is named for its dual tRNA and mRNA-like properties. Its role is to liberate the mRNA from a stalled ribosome. The record is from RNAcentral. Lineage: Bacteria; Bacillati; Bacillota; Clostridia; Eubacteriales. RNAcentral also lists the same sequence under 1 other name.
GGGGGUGUAUUUGGUUUCGACGGGGGAUAGUGGUAUCUGAGAAGCGAGUGGAGGGAACCCGUGGUCCCGCCUUAAAAAACUAUGGGAUUAAAUAUAAACGCUAAUAACGAUAAUUUAGCUUUAGCAGCUUAGUCUGCUAACGUCAGCCUAAGAGUACCGCGGCUUAGAGUCUGGCGUCGAUAGCGGUGAAACGAGCCUGUGUAAGCUUUGCCACAGGAACGGGAUAUAUGAAGCUACUGAAACCAAAAGCCUGUCCUUAGGCGUUUGGUAGAGGGAAUGUAAAAAUAAGGACUGCACUCGGAGAAGCUCGGAUACUACUUCUUUCGGACAGCGGUUCGACUCCGCUCACCUCCACCA